GACGAACGCUGGCGGCGUGCCUAAUACAUGCAAGUAGAACGCUGAAGCUUGGUGUUUGUACCGAGCGGAUGAGUCGCGCACGGGUGAGUAACGUGUAGGUAAUCUGUCUGGUAGCGGGGGAUAACUAUUGGAAACGAUAUCUAAUACCGCAUAAGAGUAGAUUUCGUAUGACUUUUGCUUAAAAUGCGCAAUCGCAUCACUACCAGAUGGAUCCGCGUUGUAUUAGCUAGUUGGUGAGGUAACGGCUCACCAAGGCAACGAUACAUAGCCGACCUGAGAGGGUGAUCGGCCACACUGGGACUGAGACACGGCCCAGACUCCUACGGGAGGCAGCAGUAGGGAAUCUUCGGCAAUGGACGGAAGUCUGACCGAGCAACGCCGCGUGAGUGAAGAAGGUUUUCGGAUCGUAAAGCUCUGUUGUAAGAGAAGAACGAGUGUGAGAGUGGAAAGUUCACACUGUGACGGUAUCUUACCAGAAAGGGACGGCUAACUACGUG
Molecule: ribosomal RNA, 497 nt
Filed under: uncultured bacterium
Lineage: Bacteria
Description: partial 16S ribosomal RNA
Rfam family: Bacterial small subunit ribosomal RNA
Source: RNAcentral